GACGAACGCUGGCGGCGUGCUUAACACAUGCAAGUCGAGCGGUAAGGCCUCUUCGGGGGUACACGAGCGGCGAACGGGUGAGUAAUACGUCGGUGACCUGCCCUCAGCUCGGGGAUAAGCCUCGGAAACUGGGCCAAAUCCGGGUUAUGACUUUUCCUGGCAUCGGGGUUGGAAGCAGGUUUUUUUGGCUGGGGAUGGGCGGGCGGCCUGUUAGCUUGUUGGUGGGGUGAUGGCGUACCAAGGGGACGACGCGUAGCAGGCCUGAGAGGGCGAGCGGCCAAACUGGGAGGGAGGCACGGCCCAGGAAUCUACGGGAGGGAGCAGAGGGGAAUACUGCGAAAGGGGCGGAAGCCUGACGCAGCGACGGCGUGUGGGGGGUGACGGCCUGGGGGGAGUAGACUUCUUCCGACCCCGGCGAAUGUUGACGGUAGCGGUAGAAGAAGCACCGGCCAACUACGUG
RNAcentral lists this ribosomal RNA (460 nucleotides) under uncultured bacterium. RNAcentral's name for it is "partial 16S ribosomal RNA". It matches the Rfam family "Bacterial small subunit ribosomal RNA", at positions 28 to 507 of the family's 1533-position model. The record is from RNAcentral.